GGAAGAACUCUGUGGGAUUCCACCAGAGAUGACGCGCAGAAUCCGAUUGUGUCAAGGGAGCUCCGCUUCUAUUUACUUGCAACUGGCCUCAUCCUGUGCUGCGUUUGUUACAAGCUAGUUAGUCGUCUGUGCCAUUGCAGCCCGCUUAAAUCACUAACCUGAUACCAAUUCUUCGCAAAUACUCGUGUUGUCUACGCAAAGCUCGAGGAGUCAAAGGUGGACGAUAGUCUUUAGUUCUAUCACCUGCCGCAAGACAACACAAAGCAAACAGUGUGUGAGCCACAAGCUUGGAGCAUGGCGAGAAAACAAAUCUCACACCUGGGCUGCGAGUACACAGUGGUGAGUUUGGUGGAAAAGCCUCAGUCCUCGGCCGUGCCGUUCGCCUGGAGCACCUAAUCAAAACUAAUACUUUAACACACAAGAAAAAGUAAAGGAAGAACAACAUCGAAAAGUCUCACCUUUUCCAAGUGUUGGCCUCAUAAAAUGAAUUUCACCCUCCACACCCACCGCGAGCAAUUGCACGUCGAUCGAUUCUUUAAACCUCGUCGCGAAAUCCCACUCCAGCGCGAGGUAGCCGAUGGGAUUCCAGGCAGCUACCUGAGCAGUCACAGGCAUUUAGAACCAAAACAAUCAGGCCCUGGCUGUCUAUAAGAUUGGUCCAUACCUCUCGCUGACGCUAGACACAUCUCUCCACAUCGGGCCCCGGGAAAAUGGAGAAUCUCCCACUCACGACCAUCUUCAGCAGCUUCUUCA
This 753-nucleotide long non-coding RNA is filed under the name Selaginella moellendorffii. RNAcentral's name for it is "long non-coding RNA (SMOE_LNC000218)". The record is from RNAcentral. Lineage: Eukaryota; Viridiplantae; Streptophyta; Lycopodiopsida; Selaginellales; Selaginellaceae.